This is an unclassified non-coding RNA of Apteryx haastii (Great spotted kiwi), 166 nucleotides long. The record is from Ensembl. Lineage: Eukaryota; Metazoa; Chordata; Aves; Apterygiformes; Apterygidae.
CCGGUAGCACUGGAAAUUAAAGUCCUCUGUUUACCCACAGAAGCAGAAACAGUCAAAGCUUCCUCACUCUGCUGUAGAAAUGACCUGAACACUGACCUGAAGAGACCACCCUCCUGAGAGAGGAAAGGUCACUGAGCCUCCAUGCAAGAUCUGCUCAGGGGAUCCU